AUAAGAGGGACAACUAUACAUAUAGGGUCAAGCACAUCUCUAAUCCUCAAUAUCAUACAUAACAUUACAUAACUGUUCAAUACUCUUACAUUACAUCAAAACAUUUGUCAUGUCCACAUUCUAACUAUUACAUAACAUCUCUUCAGUACUCUGGCUAACCUUCUGAUCUACCCUGUACCUGCACAUCUGGGGUUAGGGGAGAGGGGUGAGCUAGAAAGCCCAGUGAGCAGAAUAGAGAAAAACAUUAUAUUAGAGUUUCAUGCUCACAUGAAAUGCAACACAUCACAAACAAAUCACAUAAGGAUGGUAUUGUCACCUCUAGUCCUCUACAAUCCAAAGUGCCGGGACGUAGAAUGGGUCAACCGGUCUUUCUCUUACAUAACAUACAUAACAUAACAUUCCAAUAUGCCAGGGACGUAGAAUGGGUCAACCUGGUCUUUCUCUUAUUCUGGCCGGGACGUAGAAUGGGUCAACCGGCAAACAUACCAUACCAUGUCUCAUCAUAACAUAUCAAGGACUAAAGGAUCAUUCAAUGCCCAUCCACAUCAUCAUCAAGUAUGCAAUGCAACAUAUUCGUGAACUAAUGCAAGCAACCUAUUAUAUUCACAUGGCAUUCAUGAUGCAUGGGUCAUGCUCAAAACUCACAUUUCAUUAAUUAAAAAUUUAGGUUAAUUCCACUCACCUCUGGCUAGCUCUGACAAUACUCUGAAGCAGCUAUCACUGCUGGGGUCCUCGGUUCCUCGGGUCCGAACCUACACAGGUGGACUCGAAUGAGGGACCAAACAUACUUUAUCAAGACUCUAACAUACUCCCCAAAAACCCCCUAGAAUAUCAUGAAAACAUCACAUAAAAAUAUGCAUGAAAUGGCUGAACAGGGCACUUUCGGCGGCAGGUUCGGCGGCCGAAAGUCCCAGACAGAGACGAAAGUCAGGCAGGUUCGGCGGCACCUUCGGCGGCCGAAAGUGCCAGACAGAGACGAAAGUCUCUUUUCGGGGGCACCUUCGGCAGCCGAAUGCUGCCUCCACAAGAGGGGUUCGGCGGCCGAAACUUCCUUCGGCUGCCGAACCUGGUUUCUGCCAAACGGGCAGAAACUUGGUUCAAAUGAACCUCCUGCCUCCCAAAACCAUAAAUCAUGCAUAUAACUCAACCAAAACAUGCAUACAAGCUCCUAGGGGCCUCAAACAAACAUAUACCCCAUCUACAACACUCCAAACACACACAAUCAAGCCACAUUGUUCAUUAAAGCAUCAAAAACCCAUAAGCUCAACAUAUACCCUAACAUGCAUUCUACCCCUUAAAACUUCAUAAAACUUGUUUAAAACGCAUAAUAAGGGUGGAUCCGAGCUUACCUCUUGAAGAAACGAGAGGGAAGACGAUCCUAGCUUGGAGAUGAA
This 1394-nucleotide long non-coding RNA is filed under the name Manihot esculenta (cassava). RNAcentral describes it as "long non-coding RNA (MESC_LNC007097)". Lineage: Eukaryota; Viridiplantae; Streptophyta; Magnoliopsida; Malpighiales; Euphorbiaceae. The record is from RNAcentral.